UACGGAGGAUGCGAGCGUUAUCCGGAUUUAUUGGGUUUAAAGGGUGCGUAGGCGGAUCGUUAAGUCAGUGGUCAAAUUGAGGGGCUCAACCCCUUCCCGCCAUUGAAACUGGCGAUCUUGAGUGGAAGAGAAGUAUGCGGAAUGCGUGGUGUAGCGGUGAAAUGCAUAGAUAUCACGCAGAACCCCGAUUGCGAAGGCGGCCUGCUGGACUGCAACUGACGUUGAGGCCCGAAAGCGUGGGGAGCAAACAGG
RNAcentral lists this ribosomal RNA (252 nucleotides) under uncultured bacterium. Its description in RNAcentral is "partial 16S ribosomal RNA". It matches the Rfam family "Bacterial small subunit ribosomal RNA", at positions 524 to 776 of the family's 1533-position model. The record is from RNAcentral.